RNAcentral lists this ribosomal RNA (624 nucleotides) under Leucosporidium fragarium. RNAcentral describes it as "LSU rRNA". It matches the Rfam family "Eukaryotic large subunit ribosomal RNA", at positions 37 to 658 of the family's 3401-position model. Lineage: Eukaryota; Fungi; Basidiomycota; Microbotryomycetes; Leucosporidiales; Leucosporidiaceae. The record is from RNAcentral.
UGCAUAUCAAUAAGCGGAGGAAAAGAAACUAACAAGGAUUCCCCUAGUAACGGCGAGUGAAGCGGGAAGAGCUCAAAUUUGUAAUCUGGCACUUUCAGUGUCCGAGUUGUAAUCUCGAGAAGUAUUUUCCGCGCCGGACCGCAUACAAGUCUGUUGGAAUACAGCGUCAUAGUGGUGAGAACCCCGUAACUGAUGCGGAUGCCCGGUGCUUUGUGAUAUACUUUCGAAGAGUCGAGUUGUUUGGGAAUGCAGCUCAAAUUGGGUGGUAAAUUCCAUCUAAAGCUAAAUAUUGGAGCAAGACCGAUAGCGAACAAGUACCGUGAGGGAAAGAUGAAAAGCACUUUGGAAAGAGAGUUAACAGUACGUGAAAUUGUUGGAAGGGAAACGCUUGAAGUCAGACUUGCUAUUCGGAGUUCAGCCGCAAGGUGUAUUCUUCGAUUCGCAGGCCAGCAUCAGUUUUCGGGGGUGGAAAAUCGCGGUUUGAAGGUAGCAACUUCGGUUGUGUUAUAGCUUUCCGCUGGAUUCAUCCUUGGGGACUGAGGAACGCAGUACGCUUUUUGCAAGGCUCUCGAGCUUUUCGUACUUAGGAUGCUGGUGGAAUGGCUUUAAACGACCCGUCUUGAA